ACGCGAAGAACCUUACCAGGUCUUGACAUCCCAUUGACCGCUAUGGAGACAUAGCUUUCCUUUCGGGGACAGUGGUGACAGGUGGUGCAUGGUUGUCGUCAGCUCGUGUCGUGAGAUGUUGGGUUAAGUCCCGCAACGAGCGCAACCCUUGAUCUUAGUUGCCAGCAUUUAGUUGGGCACUCUAAGGUGACUGCCGGUGACAAACCGGAGGAAGGUGGGGAUGACGUCAAAUCAUCAUGCCCCUUAUGACCUGGGCUACACACGUGCUACAAUGGAUGGUACAAAGGGCAGCAAAACCGCGAGGUCGAGCAAAUCCCAUAAAACCAUUCUCAGUUCGGAUUGUAGGCUGCAACUCGCCUACAUGAAGCUGGAAUCGCUAGUAAUCGCGGAUCAGCAUGCCGCGGUGAAUACGUUCCCGGGCCUUGUACACACCGCCCGU
RNAcentral lists this ribosomal RNA (439 nucleotides) under uncultured bacterium. RNAcentral's name for it is "bacterial SSU rRNA". It matches the Rfam family "Bacterial small subunit ribosomal RNA", at positions 959 to 1397 of the family's 1533-position model. The record is from RNAcentral.